Molecule: ribosomal RNA, 398 nt
Filed under: uncultured bacterium
Lineage: Bacteria
Description: bacterial SSU rRNA
Rfam family: Bacterial small subunit ribosomal RNA
Source: RNAcentral
GACGAACGCUGGCGGCGUGCUUAACACAUGCAAGUCGAGCGGUAAGGCCCUUUCGGGGGUACACGAGCGGCGAACGGGUGAGUAACACGUGGGUGACCCUGCCCUCAGCUCUGGGAUAAGCCUGGGAAACUGGGUCUAAUACCGGAUAUGACUCCAUGACGCAAUGUUGUGGGGUGGAAAGCCUUGUGCGGCUGAGGAUGGGCCCGCGGCCUAUCAGCUUGUUGGUGGGGNGAUGGCCUACCAAGGCGACGACGGUAGCCGGCCUGAGAGGGCGACCGGCCACACUGGGACUGAGACACGGCCUAGACUCCUACGGGAGGCAGCAGUGGGGAAUCUUGCGCAAUGGGCGAAAGCCUGACGCAGCGACGCCGCGUGAGGGAUGACGGCCUCGGUGUAAC